Molecule: long non-coding RNA, 599 nt
Filed under: Mus spicilegus (steppe mouse)
Lineage: Eukaryota; Metazoa; Chordata; Mammalia; Rodentia; Muridae
Description: lncRNA (ENSMSIG00000011297.1)
Source: RNAcentral
CUCAUCCUGUCUGGACAGCUUAGCAUCGGUAUUACUUUCACAACACUCAGACCAUGCGCAGAAUAGCUUAUGGGUCCACAUGUUUCACAUCAAGCGUGAGGACUGCCCAUUGUCAAGGAACACCCUGUUUGCCUGCCAGUCUUCCUCAGGAUACUUAGAAUACAGGAGUUGGAAAAGCAUGAGAACACUCUGAUACACAAGGAAGGAGUCUCUUGCAAUGAGAGUUAUUUUGAAUGUGGGGGUCAGAGGAUGCUGAAGAGCAGUUUUGUCCAAAAAGAACAUCAUCUCCAGCGGAGAAAGGGCAGCUCUGAGCCUCGGGAGAGACUCCAUUGUAAACUCUCAGUCUACAUACUUGGCUCACUAUGAAAGAAUCCAAUAUGGAGCAACAAGAAGGAACUCAGGCCCUGCACCAGUCAAGUGUGUACUCAUGCUUUAGUCAGUGUGUCCUAGGAAACAUAUAACCUGGUGCUUCUUCAGGACUCUGGUGCUCCUGAAGCCCCACAAGUUCUCUCUGGGAGAUGAAUGCUUUCAGACAAGACUGCAACCCUACCCUCUCUUCCAGGCCCCUGACUGACAUAAUCAGAACGGUCACUCCAAAU